UCUAGUUUGAUCCGGUACACAAAAACAUUUUAACCAAGUACCAAAUAAGGAAUUAUAGGAAAGUAGUCUAACUUAGUACAUAAAAUCUCUUUAGUUAAGGCAUGUGCAUUGUAAUAAGUAAAAGCAUUACUUUCAAUUUUUAGGCUUUUCGUCACAGUUUAUUUCGUUGGAAAACGUUUUCAUGUCGGAUAUACAACUGUUAGGUAUUUGUUGUUGAAAAAAGCAUAAAAAAAGUUUCAUGCAAUUUCAUU
This 251-nucleotide long non-coding RNA is filed under the name Carica papaya (papaya). RNAcentral describes it as "long non-coding RNA (CPAP_LNC016019)". The record is from RNAcentral. Lineage: Eukaryota; Viridiplantae; Streptophyta; Magnoliopsida; Brassicales; Caricaceae.